GUACUCUCACACUCUCUGAUCCGUUGGAUUUGGGGAGCGGUGGACUUGGGUGCUUGCUGCUUCCUUGUGGCUCACCUGAAAUGCAUCAGUGCAUCUCUUGAUUGGACAUAGUACGGCGUGAUAAGCGUCUUCGCCGGCACCUCAUAAGAGGGUGGCUGAUCGGGAGCUCUGUGCUUUCAAACCGUCUUCGGACAACCCUUGACA
This 204-nucleotide unclassified non-coding RNA is filed under the name uncultured Sebacina. RNAcentral's name for it is "sequence contains ITS2". The record is from RNAcentral. Lineage: Eukaryota; Fungi; Basidiomycota; Agaricomycetes; Sebacinales; Sebacinaceae.